UAGGGAAUCUUCGGCAAUGGACGAAAGUCUGACCGAGCAACGCCGCGUGAGUGAAGAAGGUUUUCGGAUCGUAAAACUCUGUUGUUAGAGAAGAACAAGGACGUUAGUAACUGAACGUCCCCUGACGGUAUCUAACCAGAAAGCCACGGCUAACUACGUGCCAGCAGCCGCGGUAAUACGGAGGGUGCAAGCGUUAAUCGGAAUUACUGGGCGUAAAGCGCACGCAGGCGGUUUGUUAAGUCAGAUGUGAAAUCCCCGGGCUCAACCUGGGAACUGCAUUCGAAACUGGCAGGCUAGAGUCUUGUAGAGGGGGGUAGAAUUCCAGGUGUAGCGGUGAAAUGCGUAGAGAUCUGGAGGAAUACCGGUGGCGAAGGCGGCCCCCUGGACAAAGACUGACGCUCAGGUGCGAAAGCGUGGGGAGCAAACAGG
RNAcentral lists this ribosomal RNA (429 nucleotides) under Chloroflexota bacterium. RNAcentral describes it as "Chloroflexi bacterium partial 16S ribosomal RNA". It matches the Rfam family "Bacterial small subunit ribosomal RNA", at positions 355 to 776 of the family's 1533-position model. Lineage: Bacteria; Bacillati; Chloroflexota. The record is from RNAcentral.